AUUGAACGCUGGCGGCAUGCCUUACACAUGCAAGUCGAACGGCAGCGCGGGAGCAAUCCUGGCGGCGAGUGGCGAACGGGUGAGUAAUACAUCGGAACGUGCCCAAUCGAGGGGGAUAACGCAGCGAAAGCUGUGCUAAUACCGCAUCCGAUCUACGGAUGAAAGCCGGGGAUCGCAAGACCUUGCGCGAAUGGAGCGGCCGAAGGCAGAUUAGCUAGUUGGUGAGGUAAAGGCUCACCAAGCCUUCGAUCUGUAGCUGAUCUGAGAGGACGACCAGCCACACUGGGACUGAGACACGGCCCAGACUCCUACGGGAGGCAGCAGUGGGGAAUUUUGGACAAUGGGCGAAAGCCUGAUCCAGCCAUGCCGCGUGCAGGAUGAAGGCCUUCGGGUUGUAAACUGCUUUUGUACGGAACGAAACGGUCUUUUCUAAUAAAGAAGGCUAAUGACGGUACCGUAAGAAUAAGCACCGGCUAACUACGUG
This 484-nucleotide ribosomal RNA is filed under the name uncultured bacterium. RNAcentral describes it as "partial 16S ribosomal RNA". It matches the Rfam family "Bacterial small subunit ribosomal RNA", at positions 30 to 507 of the family's 1533-position model. The record is from RNAcentral.